UUGGCAGAAAGACAGCCUUCCUUAUUGUUAAAAAUUUUCCUUCUUGUUUUUCCAUUAAAAUUUCUUACUUGAUAUCUGUUGAUGCAGCUUUUACUAUGCUUCUUAUAUCUCCUUAAGAUACUAAGUCGAGGCCCCAGCAAGUGAAUUGGUAACUGAUGGGCAUGGAAUCAAGAGAAAACAAGAUAAGAGAAGACUGAGUCACGUCAAUGUCUUCAAGGCUUCCUUCGAGGGGCUGUUUGUUUGGGCUAAAAAGUGGAGAAAAUGGGUUUUGGAAAACUGACAGCCCAUUUCUUAUAUUUUCCUUCACCUUCUGACGUUUGGUUCACAAAAACGAAAGAAGGAAAGAGGGAGAAAACUGGCGUUUAAAGGAAAAUUUGGGGCCGAUCUGUUUUCCGCCCUCAAGUCCCCGAUUUUGCAGAAAACUCGCGGAAAGUGAAGAGGAGGGAAAGUUUAGGGUUCCUGCCUCCUCAAUCCCGUCACCGCUCCCUCUCUCUCUCCCGCCUCCCUCAUUCCCUUGCCCCUCCCGCUUCGCAUAGACGAACAAAGCCGACGAAGCCGACGAACAUGUAUGACCGACAACCUCAAUUGUGAGGAACUUGAUAAGGUCAAAGGGAUGAGAGAGCUGCCACCUUCCAAAUUUCAGUUCAAACAAGAAGACUGAAGUACCCAUUCAUGGAGAGGAUGGAUCGCGAAUCAAAAAGCAUACUUUGGCAGUCAUACUGACAGGGCAUUUUUUAUCAGCAAAGUUGAUAUGGCAAGCUCCGCCUUCCAACCCCUUGCUCAGGCAAUCGGUGUUGCAGUUUUGAUCGCUGCAUGUUGAACCCUCCAUUGUCAUCAUCCCAUCGUCC
This is a long non-coding RNA of Asparagus officinalis (garden asparagus), 848 nucleotides long. RefSeq lists it as uncharacterized. NCBI's taxonomy places the organism in Eukaryota, Viridiplantae, Streptophyta, Magnoliopsida, Asparagales, Asparagaceae. The transcript has 5 exons. The record is from RefSeq and is a predicted model, not a curated record.